GACGAACCGUGCGAACGUUGUUCGGAAUCACUGGGCUUAAAGGGUGCGUAGGCGGGCCUCCAAGUCCGGGGUGAAAGCCCCCCGCUUAACGGGGGAAGUGCUUCGGAUACUGGGGGCCUGGAGGGGGGUAGGGGCGUGCGGAACAGCCGGUGGAGCGGUGAAAUGCGUUGAUAUCGGCUGGAACUCCGGUGGCGAAAGCGGCACGCUGGACCUCUACUGACGCUGAGGCACGAAAGCCAGGGGAGCGAACGGG
Molecule: ribosomal RNA, 253 nt
Filed under: uncultured bacterium
Lineage: Bacteria
Description: partial 16S ribosomal RNA
Rfam family: Bacterial small subunit ribosomal RNA
Source: RNAcentral